CUACGGGGGGCUGCAGUCGAGAAUCUUUUGCAAUGGGCGAAAGCCUGACAAUGCGACGCCGCGUGAGCGAUGAAGGCCUUUGGGUUGUAAAGCUCUGUUUACUGGGAAGAAACUUUAUAGGUUAAUAGCUUAUAGAGGUGACGGUACCAGUGGAGGAAGCCACAGCUAACUACGUGCCAGCAGCUGCGGUAAUACGUAGGUGGCAAGCGUUGUUCGGAUUUAUUGGGUGUAAAGGGCAUGUAGGUGGUUAGGCAAGUCGUUUGUGAAAUCUUUUGGCUCAACCAAAAAAUUGCAAACGAAACUACUUGACUUGAGGUUGGGAGAGGAGAGCGGAAUUCCCGGUGUAAGGGUGAAAUCUGUAGAUAUCGGGAGGAACAUCAGUGGCGAAGGCGGCUCUCUGGACCAAUUCUGACACUGAUAUGCGAAAGCUGGGGGAGCAAACAGGAUUAGAUACCCGAGUAGUC
RNAcentral lists this ribosomal RNA (464 nucleotides) under uncultured bacterium. RNAcentral's name for it is "partial 16S ribosomal RNA". It matches the Rfam family "Bacterial small subunit ribosomal RNA", at positions 339 to 795 of the family's 1533-position model. The record is from RNAcentral.